GAGAUGGGCAGCAUCAUGGCUGUGGUGGCCGUGUUGCUGAUCCACAUGGACAGGAAGGCCGACACAAUCAUGAAUCCCAUCAUCAGCCUGCUUUAAGCUCUUACAAGGCUGGACGAACGCCAACCAGGAGAAGAACACGGAGAGCGAUGCGUUUAUGAAGGUUCCAGUGCUCCACUGCAAUGGCCACCAACAGACCGCCCACAAACAGCAUGUUGGAGUCUUUCAAAUACUCAAUACUGACCUGAAAAAAAGAUAACGAGUAUUAAUUCAUGCCCAAAAGAAAUUAAAAUUAUUCUGAACACAGACA
Molecule: non-coding RNA, 307 nt
Organism: Poecilia reticulata (guppy)
Lineage: Eukaryota; Metazoa; Chordata; Actinopteri; Cyprinodontiformes; Poeciliidae
Source: RefSeq, a predicted model, not a curated record